GAACGUACGCUGGCGGCACGCCUAACACAUGCAAGUCGAACGAAGUAGCAAUACUUAGUGGCAGACGGGUGAGUAACAUGUAGGUAUCUGCCCUUUGGCCUGGAAUAACACGAGGAAACUUGUGCUAAUACCGGAUAAGUCUUUACAGAGAAAGCUUUAUGCACCAUUGGAUGAGCCUGCACUUGAUUAGUUUGUUGGUGGGGUAAUGGCCUACCAAGACUGUGAUCAAUAGCUGAUUUGAGAGGAUGAUCAGCCACAUUGGGACUGAGACACGGCCCAAACUCCUACGGGAGGCAGCAGUGGGGAAUCUUGCACAAUGGAGGAAACUCUGAUGCAGCGAUGCCGCGUGAGUGAAGAAGGCCUUUGGGUUGUAAAGCUCUUUCGUCGGGGAAGAAAAUGACUGUACCCGAAUAAGAAGGUCCGGCUAACUUCGUGCCAGCAGCCGCGGUAAUACGAAGGGACCUAGCGUAGUUCGGAAUUACUGGGCUUAAAGAGUUCGUAGGUGGUUGAAAAAGUUAGUGGUGAAAUCCCAGAGCUUAACUCUGGAACUGCCAUUAAAACUUUUCAGCUAGAGUAUGAUAGAGGAAAGCAGAAUUUCUAGUGUAGAGGUGAAAUUCGUAGAUAUUAGAAAGAAUACCAAUUGCGAAGGCAGCUUUCUGGAUCAUUACUGACACUGAGGAACGAAAGCAUGGGUAGCGAAGAGGAUUAGAUACCCUCGUAGUCCAUGCCGUAAACGAUGUGUGUUAGACGUUGGAAAUUUAUUUUCAGUGUCGCAGCGAAAGCGAUAAACACACCGCCUGGGGAGUACGACCGCAAGGUUAAAACUCAAAUGAAUUGACGGGGACCCGCACAAGUAGUGGAGCAUGUGGUUUAAUUCGAAGAUACGCGCAGAACCUUACCAACACUUGACAUGUUCGUCGCGACUCUAAGAGAUUAGAGUUUUCGGUUCGGCCGGACGAAACACAGGUGCUGCAUGGCUGUCGUCAGCUCGUGUCGUGAGAUGUUGGGUUAAGUCCCGCAACGAGCGCAACCCUCACUUUUAGUUGCCAUCAUUAAGUUGGGCACUCUGAAAGAACUGCCAGUGAUAAGCUGGAGGAAGGUGGGGAUGACGUCAAGUCCUCAUGGCCCUUACGUGUUGGGCUACACACGUGCUACAAUGGUAUCUACAACAGGAAGCAAGACUGCGAAGUUAAGCAAAUCCCUAAAAGAUACCUCAGUUCGGAUUGCACUCUGCAACUCGAGUGCAUGAAGCUGGAAUUACUAGUAAUCGUGGAUCAGCGUGCCACGGUGAAUGCGUUCCCGGGUCUUGCACACACCGCCC
RNAcentral lists this ribosomal RNA (1321 nucleotides) under uncultured Alphaproteobacteria bacterium. RNAcentral describes it as "bacterial SSU rRNA". It matches the Rfam family "Bacterial small subunit ribosomal RNA", at positions 27 to 1395 of the family's 1533-position model. Lineage: Bacteria; Pseudomonadati; Pseudomonadota; Alphaproteobacteria. The record is from RNAcentral.